Long non-coding RNA from Dromaius novaehollandiae (emu), 658 nucleotides. RefSeq lists it as uncharacterized. The transcript has 3 exons. The record is from RefSeq and is a predicted model, not a curated record. Lineage: Eukaryota; Metazoa; Chordata; Aves; Casuariiformes; Dromaiidae.
ACGUGGGGCGGCCGCGGGUGCGCUGCCAUGUUGGAGGGAGCGGCGGCGGGGAUGGUCCGCGCCGCCCCCCGGUAUCGCCCCGUCUUUCACCCCCUUUACUUCCAGGGGCGCUCCCGCGUGUCCAGGCGGUGCCAAGCUGUCAGAAGAGCCAGCUGCGUGCCCAGGGCACGGCCAGCCACUCCGAAAGGGACAGUCCUGCAACUGACAGGAAGGUUUCCACCUCCAUCUACCUCUUCCUUCAACUUCACUAUUUAUUUAUUUAUUUUUUUAAUGCCCAGAAUCCUUCAAGGCUAUGAAAAUAAUCAGCCCUGUGCAUGCCCUGAGCAGGGAAAACACAGUCUUCCAAAUAAGCUUGUACUGUGACUUCCGCAGCACAGUACCCAUCCUCAAUGGGAACACUAGGCACAGCUCUAACGGACACGAUAACGAAGAACUGGCCCUGUAAUGCCAGAGCAUGGAAUCACUCCCACUUUCUGGAUUACUUGUGUGUCAGAUGUAAAGACUUACAGUCACUUUUUAUCAACAGAAGACCAGGAAGACCCAGAAAACAGUCUAUAAAAUGUACAACAGAUUCUGUGAGUGGAAGACCGGGGUAAUGGAUUGCCUUCAAGUUUACACAUGAAAAAUUCCUCAUUAAAUUGAAAACAUACGGAAGAAA